RNAcentral lists this ribosomal RNA (432 nucleotides) under Triticum aestivum (bread wheat). Its description in RNAcentral is "partial small subunit ribosomal RNA". The record is from RNAcentral. Lineage: Eukaryota; Viridiplantae; Streptophyta; Magnoliopsida; Poales; Poaceae.
AUGAGAUCUCACCCUCUCAUCGAUUUUUUCAUACCAACCAUCGACAGCGAGCACGGCAUAUGCUACACCCAUCCUGAGAAACUUCCAGGUAUCACACUGAGUGGCCUAUGCAAGCAUUUCUUCCAGUGCAAUUCCAGGGCGUUCAAAAGGGGCACGUGGACGCGUCUCAAGAUACAGUCAGAGUGCGGCAUGCACGCGAUGUGGCACAAGACCGGCAAUACCUUGCCGGUUAUGGUCAAUGGCCGGCAGACGGGCAGCAAAAAGGUUCUGGUGCUGCACACCAACAAGAACUUCGACCAUUCCCGCAAAAAAAAAGAACUUCGACCAGCAGAGGACCAACUGGGUGAUGCACCAGUACCACCUAGGGGACCUGGAGCAAGAGAAGGAGCGGGAGCUGGUCCUCUGCAAGAUUUUCUACCAGACCAACACUAG